RNA transcript from Camarhynchus parvulus, 2859 nucleotides. It is a transcript of the gene named KH RNA binding domain containing, signal transduction associated 2, with no coding region annotated. Lineage: Eukaryota; Metazoa; Chordata; Aves; Passeriformes; Thraupidae. The transcript is spliced from 12 exons. The record is from RefSeq and is a predicted model, not a curated record.
ACCUGCGGGGCGGCCCCGGCGCGGCGAGCGGGCGGCCGAGGGCGCGGAGUGGCGAGCCCGGCAGCCCGCCCGGCGUGCCCCCGGCCAUGGAGCAGGACAAGUACCUGCCCGAGCUGAUGGCCGAGAAAGACAGCCUGGAUCCCUGCUUUGUUCACGCCAUGCGCCUCCUGGAAGACGAAAUGGAAAAAUUUCAGGGUUCAGAAGGCAAGAAGGAAGAUGAAGAAAAGAAAUAUCUUGAUGUUAUCAGCAACAAAAACAUAAAGCUGUCAGAGAGAGUUCUGAUCCCUGUCAAGCAAUAUCCAAAGUUCAAUUUUGUUGGGAAAUUGCUCGGACCAAGAGGAAACUCUUUAAAGAGGUUACAAGAAGAAACAGGUGCAAAAAUGUCCAUCCUAGGAAAAGGAUCCAUGAGGGAUAAAGCUAAGGAGGAAGAGCUAAGGAAAAGUGGAGAAGCCAAAUACGCACACUUGAGUGAUGAGCUCCAUGUAUUAAUUGAAGUGUUUGCUCCACCUGGGGAGGCGUAUUCUCGUAUGAGUCAUGCCUUGGAAGAAAUAAAAAAAUUCCUGGUUCCUGAUUAUAAUGAUGAAAUUCGCCAGGAGCAGCUGAGAGAGCUUUCAUAUUUGAAUGGUUCUGAGGAUUCAUCACGUGGACGGGGCAUUCGAGGAAGAGGGAUCCGUGUGCCACCUGCAGCUCCUUCAAGGGGCCGUGGGGGUGCCGUUCCCCCGCCGCUGCCUGGACGAGGUGCCCAAGCGCCCCGAGGAGCGCCGGUGACGCGCGGAGCGCUCCCUGUGCCGCCCGUGGCCAGGGGCGUCCCCACGCCUCGAGCCAGGGGCGCCCCGUCCGUGCCGGGGUACAGACCGCCCCCGCCGCCCGCGCACGAGCCCUACGAGGACUAUGGAUACGAUGAUGGAUAUGGGGGUGAAUAUGAUGAUCCAAGCUAUGAGGCAUAUGAUAAUAGUUAUGCCACCCAAACACAAAGUGUGCCUGAAUAUUACGACUAUGGUCACGGAACAAGUGAAGAGGCUUAUGACAGCUACGCACAAGAAGAAUGGGCCACGACCCGUUCCAGCCUAAAGGCACCACCUCCAAGGUCAGCCAGAGGGGGAUACAGGGAACACCCCUAUGGUAGAUAUUGAAGGUCCUCCUCAUCUGUGACCUCAUCUCAAAGACAAUUAAUAGCCUGUGGUCUCCACAUAAACAGCAACAAGACAAGGACUCACAGGCACUGGACAGCUAAGCAGCAGAUCUGCUGGGAAGUGGUCAGAUUUUUGGAACCUUAGGGAAGUACUGUACCUUUUGAAUGGUGUUCAGGGAAUUGAGAGUGCUCAACAUCAUUUGCAAUAAAUCGCUUGCUUCUGAAGGACAGCCUCAGGUUGGAACUCUCCACAGCCCUGAGUUCUGGACCUACCAUUACCACCCUCUCUAGGAUAUGCCACCACUCAGAUUUAUAGUGAUCUUCCAGUCUAUAAGAUUUUUGAGACAGCGAGCUAGUACUAAUGAAAACUCAAGAAGUAUUGAAAAUGCAUAUAUCACUCUAAUAUUUCAAUAUUAGCUGGAAUUACAGCAGAAGUGAGCCUCCUUUAUUUUUCUAAAAGCAUCCCCAACGGCUGGGUUAUGUCACUGUAGUCAUGCACUAUAAUGAUGGCCUACAAAACAGGUAAGUAAAUGAGGAGGUAAAUUGUGUAAGUAUGUGCAUUUUUCUUAAGAUAGGUAGAAUUAAAUGGUGGAGAAUACUCAUCCUGAAGCUAAUAAACAUAAGACACUAUGGACCAUACCAGCAAUAAUGAAAGCUCUCAGUUACCCCCAGUCCUUACUGGUGAGUUCUGUAGGUACAUUUGUAACCCUGCUGCAGCAUCUAAGUUUGGGUGUCUAAUCUCUCCUUAUAACACUGAUACAGAGAAUGUUUAGCUAGGGCUGAAUCUAGCCUUUAGGCUGUGUCCUGAACUCUCUUUUCUCUCAAAGUCAAAUAUUAUUUUUAGCUUUUAUUGACCUGACCAUCUGACUCCACUCAGCAUUUUCUUCUGGUCAAAUGCACUGCUCCCCGUCUAGGUCUAAACUGACUUAUCAAAGAAGUUGUGUUCUUCAGGCAUGAAAUGGGUUUUUAUUACUGAGGUCCACAGUGCAGAUCAUUGGAAGUUAUGUAAUAAUAUGAAGGGACAUAUAAUUGAAAGGCUGUCAGAAGAUAAAAGGGUAUCCAGCUUCCCAGAGCAUUCACAGCUCCUGAAGCUGGUUGACAUUGAAGGAGCGAUUCAGUGCUCAGUGCCAGCCCCUCUGGUAGCAGCUCUGCUCCUCCUCACUGCUGCCUGUUGAAAUAUCAGAGUCUGCAGCAGAGAAUUUAAUACAGGAGUUUUCCAUUAAAGACAUUAGCUGCUGCAUUUCACAGUUACUUCCAACUCAACUCACCUGCUGGGGACACAGUACUUUGUCCUUGAGAGGCAGGGCUGCCUUCAUCCUGUUCUUCCCACUGGAGCAGCGAGAAGUAGCGUGUGAGUACCUACUGGGCAAUGCACAACAAGUGAGUAACUGCAAUACAGGCAUAUAUUAUUCUUGGAUUUGUUUUAAAUGUCUAGCAAUAAUCCAUGUGAAGUAAAAGUAAGUCUUUAACUAUCCUGACAUUCUCCUAAAUGUAAAAAACCAUAAGAGAUGCCUGUAUUUACUACAAAUAAUAAAACUGAAGCAUUACGCUAAUCAAAUUCAAAUCAGUUCAACUGCAUAAUUUUCAGUGAAUAGGUGCUUAUAAAACACAGAAUGAACUCCAGAAGGGAAGGUUCAUUGCUUCCUAAUCAAAAGCAGUCAGCUUUAAACACCAGCCAGUCAGGUGAUAGGUUUGUCAUUUCUCAGCUGUGCUCUUGGAGGGAAUUU